GAUCCUGGCUCAGGAUGAACGCUAGCGACAGGCUUAACACAUGCAAGUCGAGGGGCAUCAUGAGGUAGCAAUACCUUGAUGGCGACCGGCGCACGGGUGAGUAACACGUAUGCAAUCCACCUGUAACAGGGGGAUAACCCGGAGAAAUCCGGACUAAUACCCCAUAAUAUGGGCGCUCCGCAUGGAGAGCCCAUUAAAGAGAGCAAUUUUGGUUACAGACGAGCAUGCG
This 229-nucleotide ribosomal RNA is filed under the name uncultured bacterium. RNAcentral's name for it is "partial 16S ribosomal RNA". It matches the Rfam family "Bacterial small subunit ribosomal RNA", at positions 15 to 235 of the family's 1533-position model. The record is from RNAcentral.